GAUGAACGCUGGCGGCGUGCCUAAUACAUGCAAGUCGAGCGAACAGACGAGGAGCUUGCUCCUCUGACGUUAGCGGCGGACGGGUGAGUAACACGUGGAUAACCUACCUAUAAGACUGGGAUAACUUCGGGAAACCGGCUCUAAUACCGGAUAAUAUAUUGAACCGCAUUGUUCAAUAGUGAAAUACGGUUUUUCUGUCACUUAUAGAUGGAUCCGCGCCACAUUAGCUAGUUGGUAAGGUAACGGCUUACCAAGGCGACGAUGCGUAGUCGACCUGAGAGAGUGCUCGGCGACACUGGAACUGAGACACGGUCCAGACUCCUACGGGAGGCAGCAGUAGGGAAUCUUCCGCAAUGGGCGAAAGCCUGACGGAGCAACGCCGCGUGAGUGAUGAAGGUCUUCGGAUCGUAAAACUCUGUUAUUAGGGAAGAACAAAUGUGUAAGUAACUAUGCACGUCUUGACGGUACCUAAUCAGAAAGCCACGGCUAACUACGUG
Molecule: ribosomal RNA, 497 nt
Filed under: uncultured bacterium
Lineage: Bacteria
Description: partial 16S ribosomal RNA
Rfam family: Bacterial small subunit ribosomal RNA
Source: RNAcentral